RNAcentral lists this ribosomal RNA (442 nucleotides) under uncultured bacterium. Its description in RNAcentral is "bacterial SSU rRNA". It matches the Rfam family "Bacterial small subunit ribosomal RNA", at positions 355 to 796 of the family's 1533-position model. The record is from RNAcentral.
UUUCGAAUCAUUCACAAUGGGCGAAACCCUGAUGGUGCGACGCCGCGUGGGGGAUGAAGGUCCUCGGAUUGUAAACCCCUGUCACCUGGGACUAAACCCCGGCGAAGAGCCGGGCUGAAUUAACCAGGAGAGGAAGCAGUGGCUAACUCUGUGCCAGCAGCCGCGGUAAUACAGAGACUGCAAGCGUUACUCGGAUUCACUGGGCGUAAAGGGAGCGCAGGCGGGCAGGUGUGUCGGGCGUGAAAUCCCGGGGCUUAACUCCAGAACUGCACCCGAAACUACCCGUCUAGAGGAUUGGAGAGGCGGGCGGAAUUCCAGGUGUAGCGGUGAAAUGCGUAGAUAUCUGGAGGAACACCGACGGCGAAGGCAACCCGCUGGACAAAUCCUGACGCUCAGGCUCGAAAGUAUGGGGAGCAAAAGGGAUUAGAUACCCCCGUAGUCC